RNAcentral lists this ribosomal RNA (439 nucleotides) under uncultured bacterium. RNAcentral describes it as "bacterial SSU rRNA". It matches the Rfam family "Bacterial small subunit ribosomal RNA", at positions 97 to 520 of the family's 1533-position model. The record is from RNAcentral.
GGCGAACGGGUGAGUAAUGCAUCGGAACGUGUCCAUGUCGUGGGGGAUAGCCCGGCGAAAGCCGGGAUUAAUACCGCAUACGCCCGAGAGGGGAAAUGUGGGGGUAGCCGGCAAGGCUCACGCGAUUUGGAUCAGGCGAUGUCCGAUUUAGCCUAGUUGGCGGGGUAAGAGCCCACCAAGGCGAUGAUCAGGUGAGCUGGUCUGAGAGGAUGAUCAGCACACUGGGACUGAGACACUGGCCAGACUCCUACGGGAGGCAGCAGUGGGGAAUUUUGGAGCAAUGGGGGCAACCCUGAUCCAGCCAUUCCGCGUGAGUGAAGAAGGCCUUCGGGUUGUAAAGCUCUUUUGUCCGGAACGAAACGGUGGACGUGAAUAUCGUGCCACUACUAGACGGUACCGGAAGAAUAAGCACCGGCUAACUACGUGCCAGCAGCCGCGG